GUGGUUUGCAUCUUGAGGGGAAACCGUCUGUAUUUACAUUCAUGAAGGCGUCUCUUGAUUGUGGACUUUGACACUCCUCCAGAGUGUUCUUGUCUUGCCUAGGUGUUGUGAAGGGUUUUUCUUCAACAAGGGAAUAAUUCUGCAAUCAUCCACUUUGGUUGACUUCUGUGGUCUUUUUCUCCAAGCCUUUUGGUGUUGCUGAGCUCGCCAUUGCAUUCCUUCUUUUUAAGAAUGUUUAUUUGGCCACUCUUCAAUUUUCUGCUAUCUCUCUGAUAGGUCUGUUUUUGUUUUUUCAGCCUAAUGAGAGCCUCCUUCACUUGCAUCGACACCUCUUUGGACUGCAUAUUGAGAGUUCUCAUGAGCAGUUACCAAGUGCAAAUUCAACACUGAAUCAACUCCAGAGCUUUUAUCUCCUUAAUUUGUCACGAAAUAAUGCUACACUAGCCACACCUGGCCAUGAAACUGCUUGGAUGUAAUUGGAUGUAAUGGCUGUAAUUCCUAAAUGAAUAUUUUUGUUAAACUCCUUGAAUUAUAGCUGAAAGUGUACGCUUCAAUCACAUCUUGAUUGCUUCAUUUCAAAUCCAUUUUGGUGGUGUACAGAGGCAAAAUUACCAAAAUUCGGUCACUGUCCAAAUACUUAUGGACCUGACUGCAUAGCAAGUGCUCUGAAAAAGUAUUUGAUUUCUUCUGUUUUUGUGUAUAUUUCAUACUAAAUUGUUUCAGAAAUGAAAACAAAAUAUAAGAUAAAGCAAAGGCAACGUAAGUAAACACAAAAUACAGAUUUUAAACGAUAAUGUUAUUUAUUGAAGCAGAAAAAUUAUCCAAUACCAACUGGGUCUGUGUGAAAAUGUAUAGUUGCUAAAGUGUAUAGUUACUACCCAAUAGUUACUAAUUCCCCAAAUCUAUGAAACUACAGUUAUAAUGGGGUUCAGCUCGACUAGACACAACCAGGCCUGAUUACUGCAAACACUGUUUUUCAACAGCAUGAAGUUGGAUAAAAGGUCUUACCCAGUAACACACUCUGCCAAAAUGGAAAGAAAUUCCAGAACCGAUGAGGAAGAAGGUGAUUUAAAUACAUCAGUCUGGGUUAGGGUUAGAAAUUGUUACAAAGCUUUGUCAAAGGCUCUGGGACUCCAUUAUUUCCAAAUGGAAAAACUCAGCACAGUAGUGAACCUUCCCAGAAGUGUCCGACCUUCCAAAAUUCCUCCAAGAGCACAGCAACGACUCAUCCAGGAAGUCACAAAAGAGCCAAGAACAACAUCAAAGGAGCUACAGGCCUCUCGUGCAUCAAUAAAGGUCACUGUUCAUGACUCCACUAUCAGAAAGACACUGGGGGAAAAUGUCAUCCAUGGAAGAGUGGUGAGGUGAAAACCACUGCUAACCCAGAAGAACAUUAAGGCUCGUCUGAAUUUCGCCAAAACACACCUUGAUGAUCCUCAACCCUUUUGGGAGACUGUUCUGUGGACUGAUGAGUCGAAAGUGGAACUGUUAGGAAGACAAAAGUCCUGUUAAAUAAUAGGCAUGGUGUUAUUACAUGCUCUGUCAUUUAUGUGCUUCAGGGGAGGAUAUUCUGUAUACCUGUCAUCAUAAAAGAAUGGCGACGGCCCAAGAGGUUUCUUUCUCUUUUUUUUUUGUUUUGUUUUGUUCUCUGAACAUGUCAGAGAAGCAACUUGUCAGCGGAGAUGUUCUUCUUGUCCUCGCUCUCACACUUCUUUUAUUGUCUUGCUUUCCAUUCUCUUCCCAAUGGGACCAUGGAAGUGCAGUUGCAAAUAAAAGAGAAGGGAGAGCUUUUUGAAGUUAAUCUUCAUUCAGGUGCUUCGUGUUCACAUGGAAAC
Molecule: long non-coding RNA, 1835 nt
Organism: Ictalurus punctatus (channel catfish)
Lineage: Eukaryota; Metazoa; Chordata; Actinopteri; Siluriformes; Ictaluridae
Source: Ensembl